Juglans microcarpa x Juglans regia is the source of this 216-nucleotide long non-coding RNA. RefSeq lists it as uncharacterized. The transcript has 2 exons. Lineage: Eukaryota; Viridiplantae; Streptophyta; Magnoliopsida; Fagales; Juglandaceae. The record is from RefSeq and is a predicted model, not a curated record.
CGCUCCCUCUGUCUCUUUAAAAGCAUUAUGUUAAUGUAUAUGCGUUUCGUAUCUGGCAAUUAUCCUGUUGCUAGUGAGCUCUUCGACUGCUCUGCAACUUUUUUUGGUGGUGAGCAUUGUCUACAAUCCGGUAAUGAUAGAACUUGAUUGAUGUAUCAGCACACACUAUAGGGUAGUGUUCAAUGACAGUGCUUUAACCAAGUCAUUCAGAAGACA